AUGAAAAGGUGGAUACAUUACACGCAAGUCAAGUCGACGCCGAGUUGGGAGUGGAGAACUGUCCUUGAGCCCAGGAAUCCUCUCCAGAGGAAACUGCAGAGAAGAACCGGAGACUGACAUUUGAAAACCAAGGAGGUCAGUGUGCAAAUUAAAUGGCGUAGGACAUGGACUUUUGAGCUGGAGGAGAAGAACCGGGUAAAAGAUGCCUUUGUUUCCAGCUGUCGAGGUGUGGGGUAGAUGAGAGUGCGUUUGAUUUGUAAGAGGUUUGUAAAGCAGCAUUCCUUUACACAGAUGCCUAAAGCUUCCUUGAGCACCGGGCAACUGAUGUUGCUUCAAGGGAUGUCGGAAGCUUCUCUGUAGGGACUGAAAAUCCUUGUGCUCCUGUUGUGGUUUACCUUAGCGAGUGAGACAUUAACUCCUGGGAUUUACACUCAUUUCUCUCCACAGAGGGAGAAGUGGCUGUGGCAGAGAUGCUCUGUGCCGACCAGAGAGGGAGCUUCUUGAAGGAAUCAGCUGGUGGCAGUGAUCAGCCAGUGACAGGACCGAGUGCUGUAAUUGGCUUCAAGCUUGCAGUCUUCUCCAUCGAGAGAUCAAAGGCACUCCUGUCCCCUCUCUGGAUUGAGAAGACCUGGGAAACCUCUUUGGAUCAGAGCUGCCAAGAAAAGGGAUGGGAUGAGAAGCACUGGUGAUGGAUGCAUCCAAAGCAGUGGGACUGGCGAGGGAGGAGAGUCCGGCCCUCUGCUCCGCUCUGAGGGAGCAGUGCCUGUGGCAGAGAUGUUCUGUGCGUCCAAAGCAGUGGGACUGGCGAGGGAGGAGAUUCCGGCCUUCUGCUCCGCUUUGAGGGAGCAGUGGCUGUGGCAGAGAUGUUCUGUGCGUCCAAAGCAGUGGGACUGGCGAGGGAGGAGAUUUCGGCCCUCUACUCCGCUUUGGUGAGACCCCACCUGGAGCCCUGUGUUCGACUCUGGAAUCCCACAGACUGGAAUGGUGCUUAUGGCUUCCUGGAGGUCCAUGGUGUAUCGUUUUUUUACACAGAUGCCUAAAGCUUCCUUGAACACCGGGCAACUGAAGUUGUUUCAAGAAACAGAAGUCUCAUCAUACCUGCAUUUAAAUCAUUUCCACUCACAGAUCUGCAUUGUCUUUUAUUUUCUCACCCAAAGAACCCACACUCACACAUUUAAUAAACUAU
This is a long non-coding RNA of Cuculus canorus (common cuckoo), 1186 nucleotides long. RefSeq lists it as uncharacterized. The transcript has 6 exons. The record is from RefSeq and is a predicted model, not a curated record. Lineage: Eukaryota; Metazoa; Chordata; Aves; Cuculiformes; Cuculidae.